Molecule: ribosomal RNA, 425 nt
Filed under: uncultured bacterium
Lineage: Bacteria
Description: partial 16S ribosomal RNA
Rfam family: Bacterial small subunit ribosomal RNA
Source: RNAcentral
GUGGGGAAUAUUGGACAAUGGGCGCAAGCCUGAUCCAGCCAUGCCGCGUGAGUGAUGAAGGCCUUAGGGUUGUAAAGCUCUUUUGUCCGGGAAGAUAAUGACUGUACCGGAAGAAUAAGCCCCGGCUAACUUCGUGCCAGCAGCCGCGGUAAUACGAAGGGGGCUAGCGUUGUUCGGAAUCACUGGGCGGAAAGCGCACGUAGGCGGACCAUUAAGUCAGGGGUGAAAGCCUGGAGCUAAACUCCAGAACUGCCUUUGAUACUGAUGGUCUCGAGUAUGGAAGAGGUUGGUGGAACUGCGAGUGUAGAGGUGAAAUUCGUAGAUAUUCGCAAGAACACCGGUGGCGAAGGCGGCCAACUGGUCCAUUACUGACGCUGAGGUGCGAAAGCGUGGGGAGCAAACAGGAUUAGAUACCCCGGUAGUCC